CAAUAGCGUAUAUUUAAGUUGUUGCGGUUAAAAAGCUCGUAGUUGGAUUUUGGGUCGGGGGCACCGGUCCGCCGUUCCGGUGUGCACUGGUGGCCCCUUCCUUUCUGCCGGGGACGUGCGUCGCACUUAAUUGGGUGGCGUUCGGAGUCGGCGUUGUUACUUUGAAAAAAUUAGAGUGUUCAAAGCAAGCCAUCGCUCUGAAUACAUUAGCAUGGAAUAACAUGAUAGGACUCUGGUCUUAUUUUGUUGGUUUCCGAGACUGGAGUAAUGAUUAAGAGGGACAGUCGGGGGCAUCCGUAUUUCAUUGUCAGAGGUGAAAUUCUUGGAUUUAUGAAAGACGAACUUCUGCGAAAGCAUUUGCCAAGGAUGUUUUCAUUAA
Molecule: ribosomal RNA, 379 nt
Filed under: uncultured eukaryote
Lineage: Eukaryota
Description: partial 18S ribosomal RNA
Rfam family: Eukaryotic small subunit ribosomal RNA
Source: RNAcentral